AUCCACCGCUAUAGGAUAUAUUUUCUAUAGUAAAAAUGGGAAAAGUUUGCAUCGUAAACAGUUGCCAAAGUGGGCGUAAGAGGAAAAAACAGAAAAAUGUUACGAAAUCCGUAUCUUUUUUCCAACCAACGAAUAUCCAAUUAAGAGAGAAAAUUUCCUUGGCUAAGGCGCAGUGUGCAAAGAAAUCGGAUACCGUAGUACAAGCAUCUAUUUCAAAACUACCUGAAGAAUUUCAAAAUGCCGUGAGAUCAUGUUUUGAAGCCGCGAAAAAAAAUAAUACAAAAGGUCGUCGAUAUACGUUAGAAUGGAUUUAUGAGUGCAUGUUGAUACGUAUAAAAAGCAGGAAUAAAAAAUCGCUUACAAGUUAACACCAGCGCAUUUGAAACCGAAAGGUUUUCAAGUAAUGAAUGUUCCUCUUGCAACUGAAGUGUUUGGUCACGAAAUUUCGGUCGCCAUGGCUCACUAUCAACCCUAUUGCGAGGAAUUGAAGGAUUCAACUGCAACACAAAAAUUUAUUGAUCUUGUAUUCAAUUUGAUACAAGCUAUGUCUUCGCGUAUACCAAGAGAUGCUCUGUACGUGAAUGAAAAUUGCAGACGAAGAAAGGCAAUCCAGGAAUUUUUAGAAUUCCUUGCAGACUGGGAAAAGCUCGAAAAAAAAAUACCUGUGUCAAGGAGCACGUUAACUGGAUUAAAAGUAACUUUACACUUGAAAUUUUGGAUAUGCUGAAUGUUGCAUGUGAUUACAAGUAUUUGAUGACAGCAACCCUAUCUCAAGAUCCGUUGGAGAGAUUUUUCUCCGUCAUGAGAUAUUCGUGUGGAGGAAACGAUCACCCUGAUCCCAAAAUGUUUGCACAAGUUUACCGAUUGGCGUCUUGUUUUUCCCUAAUACGCCCUCCGAAAGGUUGUAACGUUUCCGGCAAAGAUAUGCUGAAGAACUUACUAGGAGCAAAGGAUAUGGUAACUGGUUCAAACGAGGCUAAGCAAGCAUGGCUGGAAAGCCUCGACCAUAUACUAGAUAAUGGUGAACCAUUGAUUGAUGGUUAUGAAGACCAUGACUACAACGAGGCUGUCACCAGUGACGCGGUGCAGUCUUACAUUGCUGGGUACAUCGUCCGCAAAUUGCGAAAAAUCGUAAAAUGCAAUAAUUGUUUGAAACUCAUACAAAUGAGUCCCAAUGAGGGAAAAAUGUUAAUGAGAAACGACGUAAUCGAUAAAAUGGAUUUAUACGGCGGGUUAAUUUAUGCUAGUGACGAUCUAUUCAAUCUGACCAAAAUGAUAGAGAAAUGUGUGUUAAGAGCAAUAAGCAAAGCUUUAACCAAUAUGGAGACGAUCAGUGAAAUUACGCAAGAAUUACAAA
Cydia fagiglandana is the source of this 1357-nucleotide long non-coding RNA. RefSeq lists it as uncharacterized. The transcript has 5 exons. The record is from RefSeq and is a predicted model, not a curated record. NCBI's taxonomy places the organism in Eukaryota, Metazoa, Arthropoda, Insecta, Lepidoptera, Tortricidae.